This 434-nucleotide ribosomal RNA is filed under the name uncultured bacterium. Its description in RNAcentral is "partial 16S ribosomal RNA". It matches the Rfam family "Bacterial small subunit ribosomal RNA", at positions 27 to 507 of the family's 1533-position model. The record is from RNAcentral.
GAACGAACGCUGGCGGCAGGCUUAACACAUGCAAGUCGAACGCACCUUUCGGGGUGAGUGGCAGACGGGUGAGUAACGCGUGGGAAUCUACCCUUCUCUACGGGAUAGCUCCGGGAAACUGGAAUUAAUACCGUAUACGUCCUGAGGGAGAAAGAUUUAUCGGGGAAGGAUGAGCCCGCGUUGGAUUAGCUAGUUGGUGGGGUAAAGGCCUACCAAGGCGACGAUCCAUAGCUGGUCUAAGAGGAUGAUCAGCCACAUUGGGACUGAGACACGGCCCAAACUCCUACGGGAGGCAGCAGUGGGGAAUAUUGGACAAUGGGCGCAAGCCUGAUCCAGCCAUGCCGCGUGAGUGAUGAAGGCCCUAGGGUUGUAAAGCUCUUUCAGUGGGGACGAUAAUGACGGUACCCACAGAAGAAGCCCCGGCUAACUUCGUG